AACGGCAUGAUCCUUGUAGGACU
Molecule: non-coding RNA, 23 nt
Filed under: Cricetulus griseus (Chinese hamster)
Lineage: Eukaryota; Metazoa; Chordata; Mammalia; Rodentia; Cricetidae
Source: RNAcentral